UUCACAGAGCAACUCAGACGACUUGGAGUAUGUCUAUGACCUUUUCUCAGUUAUUGUACAUAAAGGUGGUUGCUAUGGAGGACAUUACCACGUGUAUGUUAAAGAUGUUGAUCAUCUGGGAAACUGGCAAUCCCAGGAGGAAAAAAGCAAACCAGAUGUGAAUUUAAAAGAUCUCCAGAAUGAAGAAGAGAUUGACGAUCCACUGAUAAUUCUGAAAGUGAUCUUACUACAGGAGGAGAAUAAUGUAAUUCCUGUUGAUCACCUGGGCCAGAAACUCUUGAAAAAGAUAGGAACGUCUUGGAACAAGAAGUACAAAAAACAGUAUGGACCACUGCGAAAGGU
Leptonychotes weddellii (Weddell seal) is the source of this 342-nucleotide non-coding RNA. NCBI's taxonomy places the organism in Eukaryota, Metazoa, Chordata, Mammalia, Carnivora, Phocidae. The record is from RefSeq and is a predicted model, not a curated record.